UCUUUUUCCACCGGAGCUUGCUCCACCGGAAAAAGANGAGUCGCGAACGGGUGAGUAACACGUGGGUAACCUGCCCAUCAGAAGGGGAUAACACUUGGAAACAGGUGCUAAUACCGUAUAACAAUCAAAACCGCAUGGUUUUGAUUUGAAAGGCGCUUUCGGGUGUCGCUGAUGGAUGGACCCGCGGUGCAUUAGCUAGUUGGUGAGGUAACGGCUCACCAAGGCCACGAUGCAUAGCCGACCUGAGAGGGUGAUCGGCCACAUUGGGACUGAGACACGGCCCAAACUCCUACGGGAGGCAGCAGUAGGGAAUCUUCGGCAAUGGACGAAAGUCUGACCGAGCAACGCCGCGUGAGUGAAGAAGGUUUUCGGAUCGUAAAACUCUGUUGUUAGAGAAGAACAAGGAUGAGAGUAACUGUUCAUCCCUUGACGGUAUCUAACCAGAAAGCCACGGCUAACUACGUGCCAGCAGCCGCGGUAAUACGUAGGUGGCAAGCGUUGUCCGGAUUUAUUGGGCGUAAAGCGAGCGCAGGCGGUUUCUUAAGUCUGAUGUGAAAGCCCCCGGCUCAACCGGGGAGGGUCAUUGGAAACUGGGAGACUUGAGUGCAGAAGAGGAGAGUGGAAUUCCAUGUGUAGCGGUGAAAUGCGUAGAUAUAUGGAGGAACACCAGUGGCGAAGGCGGCUCUCUGGUCUGUAACUGACGCUGAGGCUCGAAAGCGUGGGGAGCAAACAGGAUUAGAUACCCUGGUAGUCCACGCCGUAAACGAUGAGUGCUAAGUGUUGGAGGGUUUCCGCCCUUCAGUGCUGCAGCUAACGCAUUAAGCACUCCGCCUGGGG
RNAcentral lists this ribosomal RNA (837 nucleotides) under Enterococcus faecium. RNAcentral describes it as "bacterial SSU rRNA". It matches the Rfam family "Bacterial small subunit ribosomal RNA", at positions 70 to 878 of the family's 1533-position model. Lineage: Bacteria; Bacillati; Bacillota; Bacilli; Lactobacillales; Enterococcaceae. The record is from RNAcentral.